Molecule: long non-coding RNA, 329 nt
Filed under: Salvator merianae (Argentine black and white tegu)
Lineage: Eukaryota; Metazoa; Chordata; Lepidosauria; Squamata; Teiidae
Description: lncRNA (ENSSMRG00000013239.1)
Source: RNAcentral
CCAAAUCUUCAGUGUCCUGCAGUGCCAAAUCAGAAAUUUCUGGAGGAAUGGCCCAGGGUUACAGCCCUGCUGCUUUGGCGCCCCUCAGUCAGUUGUAGGAAUAUUGCAGCCUCGUGUCUGACCGGCAUGGAUAGAAGUAAUGUCAGCAGGUCUGUAGCUCAGACCACCAAGGAACUGGGAAAUAAACUCCAGGCAUCUAUGCAGACCGUUGGGUGUAGGGAGAAUGAAGAUCGCUUGUGACUCCCUUUCCUAGCAGAACAUGAAACAAGAGCGCCCCAGGCAGGCAAGUUGGACUUCAUUAAUUUAUCUAUUUAUUUAUUUAAAGCAAU